Molecule: long non-coding RNA, 191 nt
Organism: Etheostoma cragini (Arkansas darter)
Lineage: Eukaryota; Metazoa; Chordata; Actinopteri; Perciformes; Percidae
Exons: 3
Source: RefSeq, a predicted model, not a curated record
UGUUAAGGAAAGCUGUGAGCGCACCUCUAUCCGACUGACUUCAGCCUACCUCGACCUAGUCGCUCCUCCUCAGCCAGGCUUGGCCAGGCUGCACAGAUUAGACUGGGUCAAGCCUCGCUUAAUCAGUUAUCCUGGAUUUACAAAUUCUCCUUUUGUGAAACAGCCCCCUGGUCUUGAAAUGAUGUGUGUGU